ACACUCACCUGGAGGGGAGGUACCAUGAUCACGAAGGUGGUUUCCCAGGGCGAAGCUUAUCCAUCGCCCUCCAGAUGUGCUGACCCCUGCGAUUUCCCCAAAUGUGGGAGACUCGAUUGCAUAAUGUGUGGUAGUGGGGGACUGCAUUCGCACUCUCCCCUA
Molecule: small nuclear RNA, 162 nt
Filed under: Myotis davidii
Lineage: Eukaryota; Metazoa; Chordata; Mammalia; Chiroptera; Vespertilionidae
Description: U1 spliceosomal RNA
Rfam family: U1 spliceosomal RNA
About the family: U1 is a small nuclear RNA (snRNA) component of the spliceosome (involved in pre-mRNA splicing). Its 5' end forms complementary base pairs with the 5' splice junction, thus defining the 5' donor site of an intron.
Source: Rfam by way of RNAcentral